This 478-nucleotide ribosomal RNA is filed under the name uncultured bacterium. Its description in RNAcentral is "partial 16S ribosomal RNA". It matches the Rfam family "Bacterial small subunit ribosomal RNA", at positions 28 to 523 of the family's 1533-position model. The record is from RNAcentral.
GACGAACGCUGGCGGCGUGCUUAACACAUGCAAGUCGAACGGUAAGGCCCUUCGGGGUACACGAGUGGCGAACGGGUGAGUAACACGUGGGUGAUCUGCCCUGCACUUCGGGAUAAGCCUGGGAAACUGGGUCUAAUACCGGAUAGGACUCCUGGCUUCAUGGUUGGGGGUGGAAAGCUUUUGCGGUGUGGGAUGGGCCCGCGGCCUAUCAGCUUGUUGGUGGGGUAAUGGCCUACCAAGGCGACGACGGGUAGCCGGCCUGAGAGGGUGAUCGGUCACACGGGGACUGAGAUACGGCCCAGACUCCUACGGGAGGCAGCAGUGGGGAAUAUUGCACAAUGGGCGCAAGCCUGAUGCAGCGACGCCGCGUGAGGGAUGACGGCCUUCGGGUUGUAAACCUCUUUCAGCUAUGACGAAGCGCAAGUGACGGUAGUAGCAGAAGAAGGACCGGCCAACUACGUGCCAGCCGCCGCGGUAA